GGCUCAGGAUGAACGCUAGCGACAGGCCUAACACAUGCAAGUCGAGGGCAGCGCGGAGCAAGCUUGUCUUUCCGUGGCGGCGACCGGCGCGACGGGUGCGUAACAGGUGUGCAAUCUGUCCUAUACCAGAGCAUAGCCCAGCGAAAGUUGGAUUAAUUCUCUAUGUGAGCCGAGAGGGCAUCCUUUUGGUUUGAAACGUGAGGGUAUAGGGUGAGCACGCUUCUGAUUAGCUAGUUGGUGAGGUAACGGCUCACCAAGGCGACGAUCAGUAGCCGGCCUGAGAGGGUGAACGGCCACAUUGGGACUGAGACACGGCCCAAACUCCUACGGGAGGCAGCAGUGGGGAAUAUUGCACAAUGGGGGAAACCCUGAUGCAGCGACGCCGCGUGAGUGAAGAAGUAUUUCGGUAUGUAAAGCUCUAUCAGCAGGGAAGAAAAUGACGGUACCUGACUAAGAAGCUCCGGCUAAAUACGUG
Molecule: ribosomal RNA, 475 nt
Filed under: uncultured bacterium
Lineage: Bacteria
Description: bacterial SSU rRNA
Rfam family: Bacterial small subunit ribosomal RNA
Source: RNAcentral